GAUGAACGCUGGCGGCGUGCCUUAUACAUGCAAGUCGAGCGAACACACGAGUGCCUUGCUCCUCUGACGUUAGCCGCGGACGGGUGAGUAACACGUGGACAACCUACCUAUAGGACUGGAAUAACUUCGAAACCGGGUAGCUAAUACCUGAGAAUCUAUUAAACCACAGGGUUAAAUACUGAAAUCGCGCUUUGCUGUCAGUUGUAGAUGGAUCCGCGCCUAAUUAGCUAAUUGGUCAGGUAACGGCUUACCAAGUAAACGAUGCGUAGCCGACCUGAGAGGGUGAUCGGCCACACUGGAACUGAGACACGGUCCAGACUCCUACGGGAGGCAGCAGUAGGGAAUCUUCCACAAUGGGCGAAAGCCUGAUCGAGCAACGCCGCGUGAGUGAUGAAGGUCUUCGGAUCGUAAAACUCUGUUAUUAGGGAAGAACAAAUUUGCACGAAAAUAGGCAGGUGUUGACGGUACCUAAUGAGAAAGCAACGGCUAACUACGUG
Molecule: ribosomal RNA, 497 nt
Filed under: uncultured bacterium
Lineage: Bacteria
Description: partial 16S ribosomal RNA
Rfam family: Bacterial small subunit ribosomal RNA
Source: RNAcentral